GCGUAGCGUAGCUUGGUAGCGCGUCUGAAUGGGGUUCAGAAGGUCGUGAGUUCAAAUCUCACCGC
Molecule: transfer RNA, 65 nt
Filed under: Verrucomicrobiota bacterium
Lineage: Bacteria; Pseudomonadati; Verrucomicrobiota
Description: Verrucomicrobia bacterium tRNA-Pro
Rfam family: tRNA
About the family: Transfer RNA (tRNA) molecules are approximately 80 nucleotides in length. Their secondary structure includes four short double-helical elements and three loops (D, anti-codon, and T loops).
Source: RNAcentral